CAGUACCGCGGUAAUACGGAGGGAGCUAGCGUUGUUCGGAAUUACUGGGCGUAAAGCGCGCGUAGGCGGUUACUCAAGUCAGAGGUGAAAGCCCGGGGCUCAACCCCGGAACUGCCUUUGAAACUAGGUGACUAGAAUCUUGGAGAGGUCAGUGGAAUUCCGAGUGUAGAGGUGAAAUUCGUAGAUAUUCGGAAGAACACCAGUGGCGAAGGCGACUGACUGGACAAGUAUUGACGCUGAGGUGCGAAAGCGUGGGGAGCAAACAGGAUUAGAUACCCCAGUAGUCCCUGUCUCUUAUACC
RNAcentral lists this ribosomal RNA (301 nucleotides) under uncultured bacterium. Its description in RNAcentral is "partial 16S ribosomal RNA". It matches the Rfam family "Bacterial small subunit ribosomal RNA", at positions 509 to 808 of the family's 1533-position model. The record is from RNAcentral.